This 945-nucleotide ribosomal RNA is filed under the name uncultured bacterium. RNAcentral's name for it is "bacterial SSU rRNA". It matches the Rfam family "Bacterial small subunit ribosomal RNA", at positions 8 to 925 of the family's 1533-position model. The record is from RNAcentral.
AGAGUUUGAUCAUGGCUCAGAACGAACGCUGGCGGCGUGGAUAAGACAUGCAAGUCGAGCGCUGAUUGCAAGGUAGCAAUAUUUUGCAGUUGGAGCGGCGCAAGGGUGCGUAACACGUGGGUAAUCUGCCAUGAAGUUUGGGAUAACUUGCUGAAAGGCGAGCUAAUACCGGAUGUGAAAGUUGGGAGGCCUCUCUCGAUUUUUAAAGCUGGGGACCGUAAGGCCUGGCGCUUCAUGAUGAGCCCGCGGCCUAUCAGCUAGUUGGUAAGGUAACGGCUUACCAAGGCUAAGACGGGUAGCUGGUCUGAGAGGACGACCAGCCACACUGGAACUGAGACACGGUCCAGACACCUACGGGUGGCAGCAGUCGAGAAUUUUUCACAAUGGGGGAAACCCUGAUGGAGCGACGCCGCGUGGGGGAUGAAUGGCUUCGGCCCGUAAACCCCUGUCAUUUGCGAUCAACCCUUAUUAUUUAAAAGAUGAUAAGCUGAUAGUAGCGAAAGAGGAAGGGACGGCUAACUCUGUGCCAGCAGCCGCGGUAAUACAGAGGUCCCAAGCGUUGUUCGGAUUCACUGGGCGUAAAGGGUGCGUAGGUGGCGAGGUAAGUCGGAUGUGAAAGCUCGGAGCUCAACUCCGAAAUGGCAUUGGAAACUACCUUGCUCGAGGGUUGGAGGGGGGACUGGAAUACUUGGUGUAGCAGUGAAAUGCGUAGAUAUCAAGUGGAACACCAGUGGCGAAGGCGAGUCCCUGGACAACUCCUGACACUGAGGCACGAAAGCUAGGGGAGCAAACAGGAUUAGAUACCCUGGUAGUCCUAGCCGUAAACGGUGCACGUUUGCUGUAAAAGGAAUCGACCCCUUUUGUGGCGUAGCCAACGCGUUAAACGUGCCGCCUGGGAAGUACGGUCGCAAGAUUAAAACUCAAAGAAAUUGACGGGGGCCUGCA